Small nucleolar RNA from Cucurbita pepo subsp. pepo (vegetable marrow), 110 nucleotides. RefSeq annotates it as small nucleolar RNA U19. The record is from RefSeq and is a predicted model, not a curated record. NCBI's taxonomy places the organism in Eukaryota, Viridiplantae, Streptophyta, Magnoliopsida, Cucurbitales, Cucurbitaceae.
AUCGUGCUUAGUUAGGAGGCAGACAACAAGGUAAUUAUUACUUAGAAGCAUACUUGAGAGGAUUUUUCAAACAUUUUCGUGAAUCUUCCUCCAAGCAGCUUCGAACAUUU